AUGAACGCUGGCGGCGUGCCUAAUACCUGCAAGUCGAGCGAACGGACGAGAAGCUUGCUUCUCUGAUGUUAGCGGCGGACGGGUGAGUAACACGUGGAUAACCUACCUAUAAGACUGGGAUAACUUCGGGAAACCGGAGCUAAUACCGGAUGAUAUUUUGAACCGCAUGGUUCCAAAGUGAAAGACGGUCUUGCUGUCACUUAUAGAUGGAUCCGCGCUGCAUUAGCUAGUUGGUAAGGUAACGGCUUACCAAGGCAACGAUGCAUAGCCGACCUGAGAGGGUGAUCGGCCACACUGGAACUGAGACACGGUCCAGACUCCUACGGGAGGCAGCAGUAGGGAAUCUUCCGCAAUGGGCGAAAGCCUGACGGAGCAACGCCGCGUGAGUGAUGAAGGUCUUCGGAUCGUAAAACUCUGUUAUUAGGGAAGAACAUAUGUGUAAGUAACUGUGCACAUCUUGACGGUACCUAAUCAGAAAGCCACGGCUAACUACGUG
Molecule: ribosomal RNA, 496 nt
Filed under: uncultured bacterium
Lineage: Bacteria
Description: partial 16S ribosomal RNA
Rfam family: Bacterial small subunit ribosomal RNA
Source: RNAcentral